GUGCAAUGGCAUAAGCCAGCUUGACUGCGAGCGUGACGGCGCGAGCAGGUGCGAAAGCAGGUCAUAGUGAUCCGGUGGUUCUGAAUGGAAGGGCCAUCGCUCAACGGAUAAAAGGUACUCCGGGGAUAACAGGCUGAUACCGCCCAAGAGUUCAUAUCGACGGCGGUGUUUGGCACCUCGAUGUCGGCUCAUCACAUCCUGGGGCUGAAGUAGGUCCCAAGGGUAUGGCUGUUCGCCAUUUAAAGUGGUACGCGAGCUGGGUUUAGAACGUCGUGAGACAGUUCGGUCCCUAUCUGCCGUGGGCGCUGGAGAACUGAGGGGGGCUGCUCCUAGUACGAGAGGACCGGAGUGGACGCAUCACUGGUGUUCGGGUUGUCAUGCCAAUGGCACUGCCCGGUAGCUAAAUGCGGAAGAGAUAAGUGCUGAAAGCAUCUAAGCACGAAACUUGCCCCGAGAUGAGUUCUCCCUGAGACUUUAGGUCUCCUGAAGGAACGUUGAAGACGACGACGUUGAUAGGCCGGGUGUGUAAGCGCAGCGAUGCGUUGAGCUAACCGGUACUAAUGAACCGUGAGGCUUAACCUUACAACGCCG
Molecule: ribosomal RNA, 591 nt
Filed under: Salmonella enterica subsp. enterica serovar Berta
Lineage: Bacteria; Pseudomonadati; Pseudomonadota; Gammaproteobacteria; Enterobacterales; Enterobacteriaceae
Also listed under: 1 other name
Description: partial 23S ribosomal RNA
Rfam family: Bacterial large subunit ribosomal RNA
Source: RNAcentral